UACGUAGGGUGCAAGCGUUAAUCGGAAUUACUGGGCGUAAAGCGUGCGCAGGCGGUUGUGUAAGACAGAUGUGAAAUCCCCGGGCUCAACCUGGGAACUGCAUUUGUGACUGCACAGCUGGAGUGCGGCAGAGGGGGAUGAAAUUCCGCGUGUAGCAGUGAAAUGCGUAGAUAUGCGGAGGAACACCGAUGGCGAAGGCAAUCCCCUGGGCCUGCACUGACGCUCAUGCACGAAAGCGUGGGGAGCAAACAGG
Molecule: ribosomal RNA, 253 nt
Filed under: uncultured bacterium
Lineage: Bacteria
Description: partial 16S ribosomal RNA
Rfam family: Bacterial small subunit ribosomal RNA
Source: RNAcentral